GAUGAAGAAACGCAGCGAACUGCGAUAAGUAAUGUGAAUUGCAGAAUUCAGUGAAUCAUCGAGUCUUUGAACGCACAUUGCGCCCCCUGGCAUUCCGGGGGGCAUGCCUGUCCGAGCGUCAUUGCUGCCCUUCAAGCCCGGCUUGUGUGUUGGGUCGUCGUCCCCCCCGGGGGACGGGCCCGAAAGGCAGCGGCGGCACCGCGUCCGGUCCUCGAGCGUAUGGGGCUUUGUCACCCGCUCGAUUAGGGCCGGCCGGGCGCCAGCCGGCGUCUCCAACCUUCUAUUUUACCAGGUUGACCUCGGAUCAGGUAGGGAUACCCGCUGAACUUAAGCAUAUCAAUAAGCGGAGGA
RNAcentral lists this unclassified non-coding RNA (351 nucleotides) under soil metagenome. RNAcentral's name for it is "partial contains 5.8S ribosomal RNA, internal transcribed spacer 2, and large subunit ribosomal RNA". The stretch from base 1 to 121 matches the Rfam family "5.8S ribosomal RNA", at positions 35 to 154 of the family's 154-position model. The record is from RNAcentral.